Molecule: long non-coding RNA, 218 nt
Organism: Aricia agestis (brown argus)
Lineage: Eukaryota; Metazoa; Arthropoda; Insecta; Lepidoptera; Lycaenidae
Exons: 3
Source: RefSeq, a predicted model, not a curated record
UUUUGCUUAUAUCAGGUGUACACAAUUAAGCUCUCAAAUCAUAAAGCUUAGUACAUACUUGUAGCUUCAUCAAAAUACAUUUUGGUUCUUACACGUGGUGCACACAAUACAGCACUCCAGAUACCUAUUAAAAAUGGAAGUUAAAGAAGGAAAGCUAUCCAGUAUACAGGUCCACUUCAAUUCAAGUUACAGUCACACUUUUACAGAUUAAAAUAAUA